RNAcentral lists this ribosomal RNA (1802 nucleotides) under uncultured eukaryote. Its description in RNAcentral is "SSU rRNA". It matches the Rfam family "Eukaryotic small subunit ribosomal RNA". The record is from RNAcentral.
AACCUGGUUGAUCCUGCCAGUAGUCAUAUGCUUGUCUCAAAGAUUAAGCCAUGCAUGUCUAAGUACAAGCCUCACUAAGGUGAAACCGCGAAUGGCUCAUUAAAUCACACCUAAUCUACUGGAUAGUAAAAAGUUACUUGGAUAACUGCGGUAAUUCUGGAGCUAAUACAUGCACAAAGCCGCGACUCACGAAGCGGCGCUUUUAUUAGAUCAAAACCAAACGGCUUCGGCUGUACUCAUGGUGACUCUGAAUAACUUUGGGCUGAUCGCAUAGCCUUGAGCUGGCGACAUAUCCUUCGAAGGUGUGCCCUAUCAACUUUCGACUGUGGCAUAGACGCCCACAGUGGUUUUGACGGGUAACGGGGAAUCAGGGUUCGAUUCCGGAGAGGGAGCCUUAAAAACGGCUACCACAUCUAAGGAAGGCAGCAGGCACGCAAAUUACCCAAUGACCGAAGGUCGAGGUAGUGACGAAAAAUAACGAUAGAGGACUCAUCCGAGGCCCUCUAAUUGGAAUGAGUACACUUUAAAACCGUCCCCGAGGAUCUAUUGGAGGGCAAGUCUGGUGCCAGCAGCCGCGGUAAUUCCAGCUCCAAUAGCGUAUAUUAAAGUUGUUGUGGUUAAAAAGCUCGUAGUUGGAUCUCAACAGCCUUGAAGCGGUUAACUUUGUAGUUUUACUGCUUUAUAGGCUGUGCUUUUGCUGGAGGUUUAGGGGUGCUCUUGAUCGAGUGUCUCUGGAUGCCAGCAGGUUUACUUUGAAAAAAUUAGAGUGCUCAAAGCAGGCUAAAAUGCCUGAAUAUUCGUGCAUGGAAUAAUAGAAUAGGAUGUCGAUCCUAUUUUGUUGGUUUUCGGGACUCGACAUAAUGAUAAAUAGGGACAGUCGGGGGCAUUUGUAUUCAAACGACAGAGGUGAAAUUCUUGGACCGUUUGAAGACAAACUACUGCGAAAGCAUUUGCCAAGAAUGUUUUCAUUAAUCAAGAACGAAAGUUAGAGGUUCGAAGGCGAUUAGAUACCGCCCUAGUUCUAACCAUAAACGAUGCCAGCUAGCGAUCUGCCUGCGUUUUUUACUGUAGACUGGGCAGGAAGCUUCCGGGAAACCAAAGCAUUUGGGUUCCAGGGGAAGUAUGGUUGCAAAGCUGAAACUUAAAGGAAUUGACGGAAGGGCACCACCAGGAGUGGAGCCUGCGGCUUAAUUUGACUCAACACGGGAAAUCUCACCAGGCCCGGACACUGGAAGGAUUGACAGAUUGAGAGCUCUUUCUCGAUUCAGUGGGUGGUGGUGCAUGGCCGUUCUUAGUUGGUGGAGUGAUUUGUCUGGUUAAUUCCGAUAACGAACGAGACUCUUUUCUGCUAAAUAGGUUUGCCGUCUUUUUUGCGGUAAACAUUCUUCUUAGAGAGACUGGCGGCGUCUAGCCGCACGAGAUUGAGCAAUAACAGGUCUGUGAUGCCCUUAGAUGUUCUGGGCUGCACACGCGCUACACUGAAUGGAUCAGCGUGUUUUCCCUUCCCGAGAGGGACGGGUAACCCGCUGAACCCCGUUCGUGGUAGGGAUCGGAGCUUGCAAUUAUUCUCCGUGAACCAGGAAUUCCCAGUAAGCGCAAGUCAUAAGCUUGCGUUGAUUACGUCCCUGCCCUUUGUACACGCCGCCCGUCGCUACUACCGAUUGAACGUUUUAGUGAGAAAUCUGGAUUCGACCUCUGUGGGUUCAUUCCCACAGUGCUGUCGGAGAAGUUUUUCAAACUUGAGCGUUUAGAGGAAGUAAAAGUCGUAACAAGGUAGCUGUAGGUGAACCUGCAGAAGGAUC